UAUACGCAUUGCAGCUCUCUGAUUCAAACAUAAUUUUUAGUUUCAAAUACAAUUCAUUUUGGCCAAAACAUAGAUAGCAUUUAAAAAUAUUAUAUUGACGCCAACUAAUGCACGUCUUCUGUGUACUAGCAGUGAUAACCAACAAAACGAAACUGACUCAAUUUCAGUAACGAGUUAAAAUUGAUUACAUUUAGUAAAACACUAGCAAUCAUCGGCUAAAAACAAGGUGGUAGCGAGAAGAAAAUUAAUCCAAUUGUUGCCGACAGGGAGUAGUUAUUGGUUGCCUCCGUCUUAUUUGGCGUCUUUUAAAUUUACGGCCUCUACUCUUAUUCAUACAUAAAUACCUUCAUGAGAACUUACACACGCUUACAAGAAGUCACAGUGGCCCACUUCUUCUUUGUGCAAAUACAUACAUGGAUGGUGCACAUCGGAUAUUUGUGUUCGUAGGUCAGGGUCAACCGUUGCUUCUAGAUCGAUGUAAACUGCGAUCGAUCAUUUUAUAUAACUUGUGUAUCACCGAAUUUUUUUUCGUACGACUACCGACACGUUCACGGAACGCUCGAUUCGACUCCAGAAUGUCGAUUCGAAUCUAAAUGAAAAUAGUAUACGCAUUGCAGCUCUCUGAUUCGAACAUAAUUUUUAGUUUCAAAUAGAAUUCAUUUUGGCCAAAACAAACGGUAUUCAACUGUGGGGUAUGACCUGUGCAACUAAUAUUGAUAAGAUACAGAGGUUCCACUCCAAAAUUUUAAGAGCACUAACGGGCGCACCAUGGUACGUUCGUAACGUAAAUAUUCAUAAAGACCUUGGUAAUUUACUGGUUAGGCCUGAAAUUGAAAGGAGCAGGACGAAGUACUUCACAAAGCUAAGAACUCAUCCAAAUCCGCUAGCU
This is a long non-coding RNA of Ceratitis capitata (Mediterranean fruit fly), 889 nucleotides long. RefSeq lists it as uncharacterized. The record is from RefSeq and is a predicted model, not a curated record. The transcript is spliced from 3 exons. NCBI's taxonomy places the organism in Eukaryota, Metazoa, Arthropoda, Insecta, Diptera, Tephritidae.